Molecule: ribosomal RNA, 756 nt
Filed under: uncultured bacterium
Lineage: Bacteria
Description: bacterial SSU rRNA
Rfam family: Bacterial small subunit ribosomal RNA
Source: RNAcentral
CCUGGAAACGGGGUCUAAUACCGGAUACGACCACCGACCGCAUGGUCUGGUGGUGGAAAGCUCCGGCGGUGAAGGAUGAGCCCGCGGCCUAUCAGCUUGUUGGUGGGGUGAUGGCCUACCAAGGCGACGACGGGUAGCCGGCCUGAGAGGGCGACCGGCCACACUGGGACUGAGACACGGCCCAGACUCCUACGGGAGGCAGCAGUGGGGAAUAUUGCACAAUGGGCGAAAGCCUGAUGCAGCGACGCCGCGUGAGGGAUGACGGCCUUCGGGUUGUAAACCUCUUUCAGCAGGGAAGAAGCGAGAGUGACGGUACCUGCAGAAGAAGCGCCGGCUAACUACGUGCCAGCAGCCGCGGUAAUACGUAGGGCGCAAGCGUUGUCCGGAAUUAUUGGGCGUAAAGAGCUCGUAGGCGGCUUGUCACGUCGGAUGUGAAAGCCCGGGGCUUAACCCCGGGUCUGCAUUCGAUACGGGCAGGCUAGAGUUCGGUAGGGGAGAUCGGAAUUCCUGGUGUAGCGGUGAAAUGCGCAGAUAUCAGGAGGAACACCGGUGGCGAAGGCGGAUCUCUGGGCCGAUACUGACGCUGAGGAGCGAAAGCGUGGGGAGCGAACAGGAUUAGAUACCCUGGUAGUCCACGCCGUAAACGUUGGGAACUAGGUGUGGGCGACAUUCCACGUCGUCCGUGCCGCAGCUAACGCAUUAAGUUCCCCGCCUGGGGAGUACGGCCGCAAGGCUAAAACUCAAAGGAAUUGACGG